Molecule: long non-coding RNA, 2279 nt
Organism: Capra hircus (goat)
Lineage: Eukaryota; Metazoa; Chordata; Mammalia; Artiodactyla; Bovidae
Exons: 5
Source: RefSeq, a predicted model, not a curated record
GGUUCGAAUACCACAAGCCCUUUCCCACGGAGCCGGAAGUUGGAGAGCGGGGAGCCGAGGUCCCUGAGCGGCGCCUACGCUUCCUUCUAGAAUUCAUUCCUUGCCUGAGUGCUUUCUUCCCUUCAUUCUCAUACGUUUGAAAUUUUCUUUGAUAUCCCGGAAUCCAGCUCCAGCAGCCAGGAAAUCAGCCUGAAGAGAUGAGCGGUGUCGGUGGAGAAUGAUGCAGCCUCUGACUCAAGACCUCUGAAGACUCGUGUUGCCUGAGGAAGCCCUGAAGUUAAGGAAGAGGAAAGAAAAGGAUCGAGACAUGGCUAUUUCUCAGGAACGAUUGACCUCUGAGGAUGUGGCCAUCGAAUUCACUCCGGAGGAGUGGGAAUUCCUGGAUCCUGCUCAGAGGGCCUUGUACAGGGACGUGAUGCUGGAGACCUAUAGGAACCUUCUGUCUGUGGGUGAGGAUGACUUCCUUCCAGAGGUGCCCUUGGGUAUCUGCAUUUUCCCUGUGUGCCCCUUGGGAGGCCUGAUGUCUUUCAUGUGAGAGUUCUGGUGACUGGGGCAUGACACAGCUUCACAAGGUUAGACUGACCCUCUUCAGAUUCUGUGUCUAUUUCAUGUCAUAUCUGAGGUUGUCCCAGAGCUUAAUUAUCUACAAAGCUCACUGGCAAAUGUUAAAAAAAAAUACCAAAAAACCCAAUUUCCUAUUUUCUGCCUUUUGACUUUUGCUCAGUGUUUAAAAAAAUCCAGAGCACUUUAGAUUUCUUUCUUCUGAUAACACUGAAUAUCUACUUGUUUGUUUUUGCUUGCUUGUUUACUAUUUUUGGCUGUGCCAUUCCAUAUGUAGGAUCUUAGUUCCCUGACUAAGGAUCAGACCUGUACCCCCUGCAUUGGAAAUGCAGAGUCUUAACCACUGGAUCACCAGGGAAGUCCCAGAAUUUCUGUUUCUGAUCUGAAUAUUAUUUCCACAUUGGAGCAUGAGGAAAAGCUCUGGACAGUGGGUGCUAGCGACGGAAUGAAACACCAACACUGCAGGGUGGUUUGAAUCUUUCUAUUUUUUCCUCCCGCUUCUCGCAGCUGCUUUACUUUAUAUCUUUUGCACAACAAUCUACAGGGCAAGUUGCCAGGCACUAUGAUUCAGCGACUAUACAGUGCACAGGCAUGGGGCGAGAUAACCUGUUCUUUAACUUAUUUACUGCAGCUAAGACUUUGUUUUGAGAACUUCCUUAUCAGCUGAGAAACCAUUUUGUCCCUGGGUCUGUUCCUUUUGAGGAAUCAGAGAAACAUCCUUGUGUGCAAGAAAUGUUCUUUUCCCAUGGGAACAGAGGAUUCUGGGUAGAACAUCUCGUUUGCAAGAAUGUUCAGCCCUGGUUGAGAGUCUCAUUUGCAAGCACUUCCCAACCUUCCUUAUGCCUUGUUCCCUACAUCUCCCCCUUUCUUUUCUUGUAGGUGCUGAAUAAGCACUUGAAUAUGUAAAGCUUUUUCUUUUAAUUGUUUCCCUUUUCCUUAGCGCCAGUUGACUAUAAAAGCAAUAAAACAUAAAGCAACAAUUAACAAAGUAUUCACAAAGGAUGUUGUUAACAAUGUAGAUACGUGCCCUAAAGGACUGAGGUUAUCUAAUCCUUCUUGAAGACUCUUUAGUAUAUCAGAACCAAGAAUAUCAGGCAGCGUCUUAGUAAAAGUUGACAAUAUAGUUUGUUCCAAUUCCAUAAUUUCAGCAGUUAAAUUCUGGUGUCCCAUCAAAGACCUUUUCACCUUUUCCCAACCCUCACUCAUAUUAAAGGGAAUGGGGUUACGCAUAAGUGAGAUGAGUUCCAGUCACAUUUUAACACACUCCUUGUAGCUAACACAGUCACUUGAUCUCCUAACCAGGAAACAGUGUGUUGUAAAUUUAAUACAUCAGUAGCCAAUUGAGCGUCCAAAUCAUGCUGUUGUUGCCACAAUAAAUGAGCAUCUUUAUGCCACUCCCUGACAAAAUCAGCAGUCUGUAUUCCCUGAUGCAAAGCAAGACCUGCUACAGUUGCUGUUGCUGUUACUGAAGCCACGGCAAGAAUUGAUGCGAUGACGAUGCCAAGCAUUCUUCGAGAUCAAUGGAGAAGAGUUUGUACAGCAUUCACAAGAGGAGCGACAGCAAAAGAGUCCGACCAAGGCCGAGUAAGAUUAACAGGCAACCAGAGUCAGUCUGUGCUUUCACAGUGACCGAAGAGUGAUUACUGGAAUGGACCAUCUUGUCUUCAACAUUUUCCCACCAGGAACGGUUUAUACAUUGAGUCAAGUUACAAUCAGAA